CAUGUGUAACGAAGCCCAACUAAUUUUUUUUGUGUGUGUAUUUUUAGUAGAGACGAGGUUUUGCCACAUUGGGCAGGCUGAUCUUGAACUUCUGAUUCCAGGUGAUCCACCCGCCUCUGUCCCUCAAAGUGCUGGGAUUACAGCUCCGCCAUUCCAGCCAUAGCAAAUGGCACAUGGAGAAUAACUAAGGAACCCAGCCAACAACAAGAACUGAGGUCUCAGACAUAGGGGCCCGGUUGAGUAGUCCCAGCAAUUCCAGCCAUUCUAGCCAUGCCAGCCAAGAUCCAAUCACUGGAGCAGAGAGUCUCCAUCAGAGGCCUCUGAGUGGGCCUACAGGAUGCCUAGAUGGAAGGAUCCAAGUUCCUCAUUGAGAAGAGCAGCCAACAGAGCCACCAGGCCAAGAAUAUUGGCUCUGAAACUUGCCUAAAAAAGAAAUCAUCUUUAUAAUGUGAUAAGCCACUGAGACUUGGAGUUGCUUGUUAUAGCCAUCAACCUAGCUUGUCCAAUGUAAUGAUGUCUCCAUCAGAAAUCAGAAAAAGAAGCAAGAAAAAUUCUUAUGUGUUGGAAUGAUCACAGGUGGUUUCUUCAGGGGUUAGUAUUUGAGUUCCUUUAGUUAGAAAUGACAGAGGAGGACAGAUGGUGAAUGUUGUUACUAGCUUCAGAUUUUAUUGUGGUAAUUUUCCCACCUUCUCCAGAACAAAUAUUUACUGGAUAAAGCAUUUUCCACUUAACUUCUCAGAUGUUAUUAAGCCAAGAAUGCCUCCUUUUCAAAUGAAAUCUAAUAUGAAAUCCUGUUAUUUAAACAGAUACUAGUUUAGUUACUCUUAUUGAAGUAAAAAGAGGGGUAGUUCUGACUUCUUGGCCACUUUCUUACUAAUCACAUCCCCCUAGAUCACUCCUAUGGAACUCUCAAAUGCUGAGAAAUAGAACUUGAGCACCAAUGCUUCAGAAUACACUCAGAUAUAACAUGAUAGGCUUGCUCUAGCUCUUCAAGGGGGAACCACAACAUGUGAUGGAUUAGAGGAUACAGCAGCAAAUUGUGGGGUUGAGCAGGAAGCAAGUCUAAUUAUCCAAGAGAGACCACCCUUAAACGGUCUCGUCAACAGAAGUAGUUUGCCCAAUAUGUCUGUUUCUCUACAAUAUACAUUCACUUUUUAAAGCUAAAGUUCUGCAUGUUUCUUUCUUAUAAGAAUGAUCAUUUAAAAAUGAAGCUAAGAUUUUCCCAAAAGUAGCCACUCUGGAGAGGAUUCUGGGACAAUGGUGGAAUAGGAAACACCAGGAAUCUGUGUCCACACAUAGACAACAAUUGCACUGGCAGAAUCUGUUAAUGUAAUUAUUUUGGAAUUAUGGAGUCGUGCUUUUAGGGGAAAGCUUGGGUAAUCGGCUGCUUAGUUACAGAUUAAUUCAGCUUUUAGCACAGCACCUACCCACUCUCACCACCAGCCCUGUAACAGGCAACUGUGCAUAUGAUCCUGGAGCAAUGUGCAUACAUCUUAAGGAAGCCAGGGUGGGCAAAAAAUUCUAUCCUUCAACUAGUAAGGAUUUGUGCUCUCAUUGCUGACUACUUCUUUUGAUCACAGAAGUACAGACGAAAGGGAGGGGUCUACAUUGUUUUACCACCCCCACAAUCUCUUACUGCAAUUCUCACUCUUUUUGGCUGAAGUGACUCCAAAGAAUUUAAAGGAUAAGUGCUCCUCUUUUGGUUCCCUGCUUUAUUUUUCUUUUUCUCAUUUGGAAGCCAGACACUGAAUCGCAGGACAUUGAAAAGCAACUACAUAUACGGGGAAAAUUAGAAAAUGAUCAUGCAUGACUAGGGAAAGGCACAGGAUCAGAAAAGAGCUGACAAAACCUUAGGUUUAUACCUUAGACUAAUCUUUGCCACAGAGGCAGACUACAACAAUAAAACCAAUAAAAAAAAUCAAACUCUGGGUAAGGAGAAUCUGACUUGGAGAGUUACUACAUUAUUAGAUUCUAAUGUCCAGUUCUCAACAAAAACAAUUAGAAGCACACAAAUAGGCAAGUAUAGCUCAUUCAAAGGGACAAAAAAUAAAUAAACAGGAACUGUCCAUAAAAAAGACCUGUAGGCCGGGCACGGUGGCUCACACCUGUAAUCCACUUUGGGAGGCUGAGGUAGGUGGAUCACGAGGUCGAGAGAUUGAGACCAUCCUGAUCGACAUGGUGAAACCCCGUCUCUACUAAAAAUACAAAAAAAUUAGCUGGGCACAGUGGUGCAUGCCUGCAAUCCGAGCUACUCAGGAGGCUGAAGCAGGAGAAUUGCCUGAACCCAGGAGGCGGAGGUUGCGGUGAGCCGAGGUCGCGCCAUUGCACUCCAGCCUGGGUAACAAGAGCGAAACUCCGUCUCAAAAAAAAAAAAAAGACCUGUAGCAGUUCUGCUAGAUUAAAGGUACUCAAAAAACUAUAGGAAAAUAUGUAGGAUAUCACGAAAAUGUUGUAUGAACAAAAUAGAAAAAGCAAUAAAGAUUAAACCUAAAAAGAAACCAAAAAGAAGUUCUGGAGGUAAAAAGCACCAUAACUGAAAUGAAAGACUUAUUAGACAGAUUCAAAGGCAGAUUAGAGUAAGCAGAAGAAAGAAUCAACAAAUCAAUAAGAUAAGACAAUAGAAAUUAACAGGUAUGAGGAACAGAAAGAAAAAGAUUGACGUGAACAGAACCUUAAGAGCCUGUGGGACACGAUGAAGUAGACUAACAUAUGCAUUGUGGGAGUCCCAGAAAGAAAUGAGAAAGAGAAAAGAGAAGAAAAUAUUUUCAGAAAUUAUGACUGAAAAUAUAUCAAAUUUGAUAAAAUACAUCAAUAUAAACAUCCAACAAUCUCAACAAUAUCCAAGUAAGAUGAACUCAAAGAUACUCACACUGAGACACAAUAUAAUUAAGCUUCCAAAAUCCAAAGACAAAGAGAGCAUCUUGAAAGUGACAAGAGAGAAACAACUCUUCACAUACAAGGGACCCUCAAUAAUAUUAUUAUCAAAUUUCUUAUCUGAAAUUUUUGAGACCAGAAGGCAGUCAGCCAAUAUAUUUAAAGUCCUAAAAGCAAAACAAAACAUAAGCAACAACAAAAAUCAACCAAGAAUUCAGCAACAUCCAACAAAACUGUUUUUAAAAGUGAGAAGAAAAUUAAGGCAUUCCUAGAUAUACAAAGCUAAGGGAGUUCAUUACCAUUAAACCUGCCUUGCAAGAAAUACUCAAAGGAGUUCUGUAGGGUAAAAUGAAAAAAAUCAAGACAGUGAUUCAAAGCCAUAUGAAGAAAUAAGAUAUCAAUAAAAAUAAAUACAAGGACAAUUAUAAAAGCUAAUAUUAUCUUAAUAUGACUUAAAACUUCACUUUUUUAUAUGAUUUAAGAGGCUAAUAUGUUUAAAAAAUUAUUAGUCUAAGAGCAAGUAGUAUUAUGACCUUUUAUUGUAACUGCACAUCUUGUUUUACACAUGGUUGAAGAAAUUAGUACAUUUAAAAGUAUUAUUAGUUUAUAUUUUGUGGCACAUGAUAUAUGCACAUAUAAUUUUAUGAUUACAUGUAUGCACAUAUAAUUUUGUGCAUACUACUAAA
Callithrix jacchus (white-tufted-ear marmoset) is the source of this 3560-nucleotide long non-coding RNA. RefSeq lists it as uncharacterized. The record is from RefSeq and is a predicted model, not a curated record. NCBI's taxonomy places the organism in Eukaryota, Metazoa, Chordata, Mammalia, Primates, Cebidae.